RNAcentral lists this transfer RNA (61 nucleotides) under Heterocephalus glaber (naked mole-rat). It matches the Rfam family "tRNA", at positions 6 to 65 of the family's 71-position model. Rfam says of the family: Transfer RNA (tRNA) molecules are approximately 80 nucleotides in length. Their secondary structure includes four short double-helical elements and three loops (D, anti-codon, and T loops). Lineage: Eukaryota; Metazoa; Chordata; Mammalia; Rodentia; Bathyergidae. The record is from Rfam by way of RNAcentral.
UGUAGCUCAGUGACAGAGUACUUGCCUAGCAUGCAAAAGGCCCUGGGUUCAAUCCCCAGUA